This 208-nucleotide ribosomal RNA is filed under the name uncultured bacterium. RNAcentral describes it as "partial 16S ribosomal RNA". It matches the Rfam family "Bacterial small subunit ribosomal RNA", at positions 568 to 775 of the family's 1533-position model. The record is from RNAcentral.
UACGUAGGCGGUGAUUCAAGUCAGAGGUGAAAGCCUGGAGCUCAACUCCAGAACUGCCUUUGAAACUAGAUCGCUAGAAUUAUGGAGAGGUUAGUGGAAUUCCGAGUGUAGAGGUGAAAUUCGUAGAUAUUCGGAAGAACACCAGUGGCGAAGGCGACUAACUGGACAUAUAUUGACGCUGAGGUACGAAAGCGUGGGGAGCAAACAG